AUUGAACGCUGGCGGCAGGCCUAACACAUGCAAGUCGAGCGGAUGAAGGGAGCUUGCUCCUGGAUUCAGCGGCGGACGGGUGAGUAAUGCCUAGGAAUCUGCCUGGUAGUGGGGGAUAACGUCCUGAAACGGGCGCUAAUACCGCAUACGUCCUGAGGGAGAAAGUGGGGGAUCUUCGGACCUCACGCUAUCAGAUGAGCCUAGGUCGGAUUAGCUAGUUGGUGGGGUAAAGGCCUACCAAGGCGACGAUCCGUAACUGGUCUGAGAGGAUGAUCAGUCACACUGGAACUGAGACACGGUCCAGACUCCUACGGGAGGCAGCAGUGGGGAAUAUUGGACAAUGGGCGAAAGCCUGAUCCAGCCAUGCCGCGUGUGUGAAGAAGGUCUUCGGAUUGUAAAGCACUUUAAGUUGGGAGGAAGGGCAGUAAGUUAAUACCUUGCUGUUUUGACGGUACCAAAAGAAUAAGCACCGGCUAACUUCGUG
This 484-nucleotide ribosomal RNA is filed under the name uncultured bacterium. Its description in RNAcentral is "partial 16S ribosomal RNA". It matches the Rfam family "Bacterial small subunit ribosomal RNA", at positions 30 to 507 of the family's 1533-position model. The record is from RNAcentral.